RNAcentral lists this ribosomal RNA (807 nucleotides) under uncultured bacterium. Its description in RNAcentral is "bacterial SSU rRNA". It matches the Rfam family "Bacterial small subunit ribosomal RNA", at positions 1 to 805 of the family's 1533-position model. The record is from RNAcentral.
UUAGAGUUUGAUCCUGGCUCAGGAUGAACCCUUUCGAUAGGCUUAACACAUGCAAGUCGAGGGGCAGCAUAAGAGUAGCAAUACUUUGGUGGCGACCGGCGCACGGGUGAGUAACGCGUAUGCAACCUGCCCAUAACUGAGGAAUAACCCGUCGAAAGUCGGACUAAUACCUCAUAAUAAUUAUUGUUCGCAUGGAUGAUAAUUUAAAGAUUUAUUGGUUAUGGAUGGGCAUGCGUGACAUUAGGUAGUUGGUGAGGUAACGGCCCACCAAGCCUACGAUGUCUAGGGGUUCUGAGAGGAAGGUCCCCCACACUGGAACUGAGACACGGUCCAGACUCCUACGGGAGGCAGCAGUGAGGAAUAUUGGUCAAUGGGCGAGAGCCUGAACCAGCCAAAUCGCGUGAAGGAUGAAGGUAUUAUGUAUUGUAAACUUCUUUUGUCGGGGAAUAAAGUGCGGUACGUGUACCGUUUUGUAUGUACCCGAAGAAUAAGCAUCGGCUAACUCCGUGCCAGCAGCCGCGGUAAUACGGAGGAUGCGAGCGUUAUCCGGAUUUAUUGGGUUUAAAGGGUGCGUAGGCGGAGCAUCAAGUCAGCGGUGAAAGUUCUUGGCUCAACCAUGAAAUUGCCGUUGAAACUGUUGUUCUUGAGUGUAGAUGAGGUAGGCGGAAUUCGUAGUGUAGCGGUGAAAUGCUUAGAUAUUACGAAGAACUCCAAUUGCGUAGGCAGCUUACUAGGCUACAACUGACGCUGAGGCACGAAGGUGUGGGUAUCAAACAGGAUUAGAUACCCUGGUAGUCCACACAGUAA